Molecule: unclassified non-coding RNA, 195 nt
Filed under: uncultured Basidiomycota
Lineage: Eukaryota; Fungi; Basidiomycota
Description: sequence contains ITS1
Source: RNAcentral
ACGAGUUUUGACUGGGUUGUAGCUGGCCUUCCGAGGCAUGUGCACACCCUGCUCAUCCACUCUACACCUGUGCACUUAUGUGGGUUUCAGAUUGCAAAGCGGGCCUUUACGGGUCUGUGGAGCGUCUGUGCCUGCGUUUUACUAUAAACUCUUAAAAGUAACAGAAUGUGUAUUGCGAUGUAACGCAUCUAUAUA